UUCCACCUGUCAGAUCCAGCUCAACAUGGUCUAUUCAAACAGCAUAUUAUAAUAAUAUAUUUUUAGCAUUACAAUCAACAAUGUGUAACUAUAGUGAUGAAAUAAAAAUUUAACAAAUUAUUGUUUAGUGUCAUGCACGAGUCAAUCAUUUAUAAGUCUUUUUUAUUUAUAGUGUAGAAAUGUAUCUGUACAGUCCAGAUUGUAAAUAAGAAGGCUUGUAACCUUGGCCAUGUCCAGCUACUAUAACAAAACCCUAGUGCUAAAAGUGUGCAACAUGUACCA
Molecule: long non-coding RNA, 282 nt
Organism: Homalodisca vitripennis (glassy-winged sharpshooter)
Lineage: Eukaryota; Metazoa; Arthropoda; Insecta; Hemiptera; Cicadellidae
Exons: 2
Source: RefSeq, a predicted model, not a curated record